GAGGAGGAAGGAGGGUCGUCCGUCUCGACACGGUCCUUCAGACGCCGCUUUGCCCUGCCUCACAGCACUGACAUGACACGCAUCACUUCUGUCAUGUCUUCGGAUGGCAUCCUCACAAUAACUGCUCUCAAAACGGCAGGAGAACCACAGCAAAACUCACUCGUUAACUUCUCCGCGACCGAGGAAAGGAAGGAAUCAUCAACAGCUCAAGACUCAACACCCGAAGCAGUUUCGUCCACGACGGAGAAAAAUAUCUCUGUUCACGAGAAUCUUGUUAAUGUGGAUCAGAUGGA
This is a non-coding RNA of Penaeus vannamei (Pacific white shrimp), 293 nucleotides long. The record is from RefSeq and is a predicted model, not a curated record. NCBI's taxonomy places the organism in Eukaryota, Metazoa, Arthropoda, Malacostraca, Decapoda, Penaeidae.